AGUGAACGCUGGCGGUAGGCCUAACACAUGCAAGUCGAACGGCAGCACAGUAAGAGCUUGCUCUUACGGGUGGCGAGUGGCGGACGGGUGAGGAAUACAUCGGAAUCUACUUUUUCGUGGGGGAUAGCGUAGGGAAACUUACGCUAAUACCGCAUACGACCUACGGGUGAAAGCAGUGGAUCUUCGGACCUUGCGCGACUGAAUGAGCCGAUGUCGGAUUAGCUAGUUGGCGGGGUAAAGGCCCACCAAGGCGACGAUGCGUAGCUGGUCUGAGAGGAUGAUCAGCCACACUGGAACUGAGACACGGUCCAGACCCCUACGGGAGGCAGCAGUGGGGAAUAUUGGACAAUGGGCGCAAGCCUGAUCCAGCCAUACCGCGUGAGUGAAGAAGGCCUUCGGGUUGUAAAGCCCUUUUGUUGGGAAAGAAAAGCAGCAGGUUAAUACCCCGCUGUUCUGACGGUACCCAAAGAAUAAGCACCGGCUAACUUCGUG
RNAcentral lists this ribosomal RNA (492 nucleotides) under uncultured bacterium. RNAcentral's name for it is "partial 16S ribosomal RNA". It matches the Rfam family "Bacterial small subunit ribosomal RNA", at positions 29 to 507 of the family's 1533-position model. The record is from RNAcentral.